UCGCAUGAUUCAUUUUUUGGGGGAUGGUGGACAGACAGAGAGAGUGCGGAAGUAAGCGAGCGCCCGAGAGAGAGAGAGAGAGAGAGAGAGAGAGAAAGAGAGAGGAAGAAAUAAGCUUCAUUCCCUGCAUUUGAAAGGCGGUAAUUCAAUAACCACAUUUUAAACAUUGUGGUUAGUUUACCGUGUUCUUUUAAUAGCCCACUCAUUGUUCAGUCAAAGAAUA
RNAcentral lists this long non-coding RNA (223 nucleotides) under Ananas comosus (pineapple). RNAcentral describes it as "long non-coding RNA (ACOM_LNC024184)". The record is from RNAcentral. Lineage: Eukaryota; Viridiplantae; Streptophyta; Magnoliopsida; Poales; Bromeliaceae.